UCCGUAGGCGGGUAAUUAAGUCAGAGGUGAAAUCCCACAGCUUAACUGUGGAACUGCCUUAGAUACUGGUUAUCUUGAGUUUUAGUGAAGUAGAUAGAAUGUGUAGUGUAGCGGUGAAACGCAUAGAUAUUACACAGAAUACCGAUUGCGAAGGCAGUCUACUAACUAACAACUGACGCUAAUGGACGAAAGCGUGGGGAGCGAACAGGAUUAGAUAACCUGGUAGUCC
Molecule: ribosomal RNA, 229 nt
Filed under: uncultured bacterium
Lineage: Bacteria
Description: partial 16S ribosomal RNA
Rfam family: Bacterial small subunit ribosomal RNA
Source: RNAcentral